Molecule: long non-coding RNA, 926 nt
Filed under: Anas platyrhynchos platyrhynchos (common mallard)
Lineage: Eukaryota; Metazoa; Chordata; Aves; Anseriformes; Anatidae
Description: lncRNA (ENSAPLG00000026117.1)
Source: RNAcentral
GGACUUAGCAUCAUAGUUACACUAGAGGGGACUCAGGUGCAUAAACAAAUACAGUAUCAUUGUAGAUGUCAUAGGGCAUCCCACCCCCUUUCCAACUGCCAGAAUACUGAAUGUCUAGCAGGGUAAAUCCUUCUCUGUCUCACCAAGCUCCAAAAUAGUAGAUGGAUACCACUGAUCUGAGAAGCUUUUGAAAAAACAACCAGGCCAGAGGGAGUAAAAGUCUGAGGAACUUUUCCUGUCUGCAUUUACAUUUGUUUCUGGCUAGACAGCAAGAGAAAUGCUGGAAAAAGAAGUCCUCAAGCUGUAACCACUAUUUUCUUUCCAUGACUGACCCUUGUGUGCAUUUUCUUAAGAGCUCUGCAGGCUCCUGUCCUGCGGUGUGGGCAGGCACCCACAGCACUGCCCGCAGUAAUGGACCAGUGCUCCCAAGGCCUGGAACAGACCAACCCCCGCAGUCUGGAUUCGGUGAUCUGCUCUGGCUACCACUUGUGACAACACCCUGGAGAAGAUAUCUAGUGAGAGGGAGAGCUCAGCUCCUGGGGAAGAAAUUGCUGAUCCUUGAGAGGCAGCUAGAGCAGCAAAGAUUUUUUUGCUGAUAAACCACCGAUGGAGAAGCCCUCCCUUCCCCACUUCCCAUCUCAACCGCUGUCAUUUAAUUUGCAAAAGCUUGUCCCUGUCCCUAUCAGCAUUUAUUUAAGUACAUCUCUGCUGCGCCUGAGUGAUUUAUCUAAACAUCGGCAGCUACUGUAAGUGACGGAACAGCAAAGCAGUGGCAGAGGAAGGAGUGGAGAGGUUGAAAUGUAACUUCCCUCUUGUGAAAUCAAGCACAGGUGACUGUUCUGAGCAACUCCAGUGUAUUUACAUCAGUCACAGGCAGAAAGAAAAAAAGAAGGCAUUUCAGAGCCUGCUCAGACAUUUGAGACCAU